Molecule: non-coding RNA, 176 nt
Organism: Pelobates cultripes (western spadefoot toad)
Lineage: Eukaryota; Metazoa; Chordata; Amphibia; Anura; Pelobatidae
Source: the annotation of a GenBank genome assembly
GAGUGCUGGUUACCUACACAUCGUGAAAUAGUGCCCUAGAAGUGAAAAUAAAAAGUGAGUGAAAGUGAAGGAGAAAAAGGGUUGAAGGAGGUUUUUUUUUUUCUCCUUCACUUUCACUCACUUUUUAUUUUCACUUCUAGGGCACUAUUUCACGAUGUGUAGGUAACCAGCACUCU